AUGCCACCGGCCGUGCGCCGCCCGCCCGCGCAACCGACCGCACGCCGCCCUCCUCAUCCACGCGCCCGCGUCCGGCCACCUUCGCGUGCGUCCGUGAGCGCCGUCCACCCGCUGGAGCCCACCUCCGCCCUCACCACCGGCCGACGCCGGUGCUGGCGCCACCAGAUCGAGCGCAUCCCGCAGUGGCGUACACAGAUAGAGGAGCGGCAGAUCGAGAAGCGCUUGUUCGUCUCCACCAGAUCGAAGUCGCGGUGGAUCCAGAAGAUAAUCAUCUAUAAUAUUGCUGUAUAUUGUGAUGUAGACAUGCAGUACUCCGUAUUGUAUAAUGUGUAUUGUGUACAAUCUAGUGUGGUAUAUCUUGUGGGUUUUUGUCCAUAUGGAAUGCAAAAAAAAUCGAUAAUGUGUAUUGUAUACGAAGAUUGGUAG
This 426-nucleotide ribosomal RNA is filed under the name Triticum aestivum (bread wheat). RNAcentral describes it as "partial small subunit ribosomal RNA". The record is from RNAcentral. Lineage: Eukaryota; Viridiplantae; Streptophyta; Magnoliopsida; Poales; Poaceae.